AGUGAACGCUGGCGGUAGGCCUAACACAUGCAAGUCGAACGGCAGCACAGUAAGAGCUUGCUCUUACGGGUGGCGAGUGGCGGACGGGUGAGGAAUACAUCGGAAUCUACUUUUUCGUGGGGGAUAACGUAGGGAAACUUACGCUAAUACCGCAUACGACCUACGGGUGAAAGCAGGGGAUCUUCGGACCUUGCGCGAUUGAAUGAGCCGAUGUCGGAUUAGCUAGUUGGCGGGGUAAAGGCCCACCAAGGCGACGAUCCGUAGCUGGUCUGAGAGGAUGAUCAGCCACACUGGAACUGAGACACGGUCCAGACUCCUACGGGAGGCAGCAGUGGGGAAUAUUGGACAAUGGGCGCAAGCCUGAUCCAGCCAUACCGCGUGGGUGAAGAAGGCCUUCGGGCUGUAAAGCCCUUUUGUUGGGAAAGAAAAGCAGCAGGUUAAUACCCCGCUGUUCUGACGGUACCCAAAGAGUAAGCACCGGCUAACUUCGUG
RNAcentral lists this ribosomal RNA (492 nucleotides) under uncultured bacterium. RNAcentral's name for it is "partial 16S ribosomal RNA". It matches the Rfam family "Bacterial small subunit ribosomal RNA", at positions 29 to 507 of the family's 1533-position model. The record is from RNAcentral.